CAAUCUAUGAAUGUACUAAUAGAUUAAAUGAGGUCAGCCUAUUAAAACACUGUUCACUUUAAAAAGGGGCUAAGACCUGAGUUUCCCGAAUAAAACCUGCUUCCUAAAAACGGGCCCCUGGUAGUUUAACUAAAACCCUCCUUCUGAAGACCUGCAUCUUAUCCUGGUUAUAGUCUGGUGUUACUACCCCAUGAUGUGAGGGCUGUAGUUUGGACUGUAGUCAGGACUAUGCUGACUUCAUGUUUAUUGACAAGUUUGUGGAAGGAGUCUGGCUGCUACAUUCUGACCGUACUACAGCCUUGAUAGAGUCGGUUUUGGAAGCCGUUGUAAUAAGGUUACUAAUAUGUUUUAAAGAUUGAAUCAAUAUCAAGAAGGACAAUACACGGUUCUUGAUCUUCUCACUGAUUUGUGCAGGUUCAAAUGAUGAGAUGACAGGUAGACAUGCACCUGUGAGCGCUAAUCGUAGAAAUUAAAGCUGCCAAAGGGAACAUGAAGCUCUAGUGGAUUAUGACUGAGUGAAGCUACUGUGUUUCUCAUUGUCUCCCUUAUUACUUGCAGUGUUUCAUUGGCAGGCCACCAUAAUGGGUCCAGGAGACAGUCCGUACCAAGGAGGAGUUUUUUUUCUCACAAUCCACUUCCCUACUGAUUACCCGUUCAAGCCACCAAAGGUAAGAAGAACUAGUCUGCUUCCAGAUCUGUCCUGUCACCUCUUGAACUUUUAAUUUUCUUAUAUUUCAAAUCUUCUGUUGUCUUCUUUUAGAUUUAAUGAACAAGCUCUAUACACCUAUGCUAACAUUGGUGAAAAUUUGAGACAUACACAUUCACAUAAAUAUAUUCUAAUAAAAUAUGAGAUUAAGACUUGAAACACAGUCUGAAGAACACUUUAUUUAAUUUAUCACCCAAAUAUAAACAGCAACGGCAGUAUCUGUUUGGACAUUCUACGGUCGCAGUGGUCUCCAGCACUAACAGUGUCUAAAGUUUUAUUGUCUAUAUGUUCACUGCUUCGUGAUCCAAACCCAGAUGAUCCCUUGGUUCCAGACAUAGCACACAUCUACAAGAAUGACAAAGACAA
Molecule: long non-coding RNA, 1072 nt
Organism: Betta splendens (Siamese fighting fish)
Lineage: Eukaryota; Metazoa; Chordata; Actinopteri; Anabantiformes; Osphronemidae
Exons: 3
Source: RefSeq, a predicted model, not a curated record